CUGAGUAGGUCAGGAAAGGAGGGGAAAGAGAAUUUAUUCAUUUCUUUUACUAUACACUCUGCUAACAGAUAGGUUGAGGCCAUGGAAAUUAAAUUAGGAUAGAUUUGAGAGUCAAAAAGCUGAAGCUUGAUCACGUGGUCUAAGACCAUGGUUAAGGCUGUGCCUCAACUCUUCAGUUCUCUGAGUUAAUACAAUCUCUCCACUGUUUAAUUCUUGGUUUCUGAACUUGCAAUACAGAGUACUAACUCUUAACAAUACUAGAAUUAUACAAAUUUUCUAUGAAGCAAAACAUCAGUGUUUAUUGCCCAUGGCGACAAUAUUUUUAAUAAAAGCAAACAUAAUUCCCUGGGGAUGAAAUUAUCUAGCAGUUUUUAAGGGUAUUUUGCAAUCUCUUCACAGGUGCCAGGGAACGACCCACAGAGUUCCUGGAAAUCCCUAAAGGGAAGAGGAGAUUGGAUACAACUGGUCAGGAGGUAAAGGAAGACUGCCAUAAUUGGGCUGGUGACCUGGUAUUUCCGGAACGUGGAAGCUCAUCAUCACUUACAACAAUCUUUUGAAACUCUGCAAAAGUUACAAAAGCCUGAAGUCA
RNAcentral lists this long non-coding RNA (589 nucleotides) under Cavia porcellus (domestic guinea pig). RNAcentral describes it as "lncRNA (ENSCPOG00000038309.1)". Lineage: Eukaryota; Metazoa; Chordata; Mammalia; Rodentia; Caviidae. The record is from RNAcentral.